This 845-nucleotide long non-coding RNA is filed under the name Setaria viridis. Its description in RNAcentral is "long non-coding RNA (SVIR_LNC005602)". Lineage: Eukaryota; Viridiplantae; Streptophyta; Magnoliopsida; Poales; Poaceae. The record is from RNAcentral.
CCCUGCAUGUAUAUGUGACGUAGAUCCAGAAGCACCGGAAGAAGAUUACUGGGAAUUUUCAGAAGGAUCCUUGGAAUCCGACGAAGUGUUUGAAUUUGUUCCCUGUGAAGCAAAUCCGUCGGCUUCUACUAAUCUUUUUAGCGAUCAAGGCAAGCCCCGGUGCAUUUAUACCUGUCUAUUUUGGAGUCGUUAUUUUAUGUGACUAGUCAUAGGUUAUUUGCUUAUUGUAUGCACUAAGUCUAGGAGUUGAUUGAAACCUAUUCUUGUGUAUGAUCAUGCCUUGAUUUAAGGACAUCUUUGCCACUUGUUCAAAUCCUAGAAACUACCCAAGUCUAGAAUUGCUUACUUGCUUACAUGAUUGGUUUACCAACCUUAAGGAAAACUCUUAAGUCAUACAUGUUGCUUAUGAAGGAUAGUCCGGAAUAUGAAAAUGGACAGAAGCUAGAGAUGUAGUUCUGUCUGCUAGAUUAAUCUGGUUAAGGCCCGAUUCGUGUCUUAACUGUUGAUCAAGUGAUAAACAUCUGAUCACUUACUGGGUAUGGGACCAGUAAAGCCCAGUAGGUUAGUAAAUUCUAUGAUCAGGAAUGCUUCGUACCCGCGCUUGACGUGCUGGAGAUUGGCAGGGGUGUAGCCUGAAACUCACAUGGAGAUCAGGCCAGACGUGGGGUCCCAUGUGGGGGUGCAUCCCUGGGUCCGGGUAGUUGUAUUCCUAAUCAUUGACUUUGCUAAUCGAGAGGUUGUUAGUACGACCUGGACAGUCGUAUAAUGCUGGUGAUCGGGGUACUCUCCUGCAGGAUGUAAUUAGAUCCGGAUCGCCGCAAUUCUCGGUUGUGAAUGCACUUGAU